GCCCACUACCCACCCUAAAAAUCGUAUUUCUCCAUGUCUCCAUCAUCCAUAUUAUCAGCUAAGUUAGUCUAAUAUUUAAGAAAAGUUCAAAACUCUUAGAUGUUGGUGCUUCAUAAAUCCAACAUCUUGGCUAGAAAGAUAUGAAGAUUUCAAAUUGAUUGAUUGAAUUUGCACAUAAACAUUCGCCGUCCCAAUAAAGAUAAAUCACAAACUAAGCUUUUUCUUUCCUUCUCAAUCAAGAUUCCCCCUGAGAUGAAUACAAGUCUCAGCAUUAACAAACCAGCCGACAUCACACAAAAGUACAAGUCAAACUGUUAUGUGCAGUGGAGACCAAAGGUCCAAUUAACUUUAUUACUAAAUUUAAAGCCCGAGACAGCGUGAAGACAUAUUACACAACACACACACACACACACACACACACACACGCACAUUUUCAGAGGUCAUUACAAAUAUGAAACAUUAGCUCAGACGUGCUCACACAAAAGCAUUUCUUCAUCAGUUGCAGCACCCAAGCCACGCAUUAAGUACAUGCUGAUAUUCACUUUAUAAUCAGACUUGCUUCUAAUUGUCUGUGUUGCUCUUAAUCAGAUUCGGACUGACAAAGUCCAAGCAAUCAGUGGUCAUCAUAACCACCCACCCUACUCAAUGACCCCAUACCAUCUACGUACUACAGCAGUACCUCAAACUGUGGCAGUACCUUAAAAAUGGCUUUAUAGUUAGUGAUACUCUGACACUUUAGAAAAGAGCUUUUUUAUAUAAUCAUUUCAAUAACAUUUUUAUGAUAUGUGCAAAUAUUUCCCAGGGCUGUCAUGUUAGUAUGCGAAGCUUUACAUGCCAGAAAUUAUAAUUGAAAUUGGAGAAAAUCCCCACAUGAAAACAGCAUGUUGGGGCAUUUCUUUUUUCUUUUUUUUUUUUUUUUUGUCCAAACAUAUGUUCUAAAGCAUUUUUCUGGAGUAAAGUGCAUGUGAGUAAAAUCACAUUAAAAAUAACCUGAUGAUACAAUAUGCCAGGGGUAGUACCAAAUCAUUCUUGUGGGUUUUACUUCGAUGAUAUUUGCCAUAAAAGGUUAAGAUAACCCUAAAACUGAGCUAUGAAAGAACUUAAUCUUGCUGCACAGACACUAGGUGCACCUAAAGGAGGGCAGCAUUGGCUUAAUAAGUAUGUUACAACAUUAUUAUAUGCUUAACUUGAAUUCUUUUGCCCCAUUUUUUUCCCAUUUCAACCAGACAGCAGUUGCUACCAGCUGAGAAACACAGUUACACUCCAGUACGUACCAGAUUGAAUUUGCCUUUCUUUCCUUCUAUCUUUGAAGCUAUGAGAACCAUGCACGUUAUCGAGUAAAAUAUAGUGCUAGUAAAAUGUAGCACUAGUAAAAUGUAAAAGUAAUACAACAGUAAAACAAUAAAUGUUUGCAUCUGACAGUUAAAAUGUAAACAUUAGCAAGAUAACAAUUUUAUUUUUCCUAAAAAAUGAAAAAAACAAACUGCAUUCCUUGCACAUAGUUUUGCUUCUUGUUAGAGGUACCUACUUCAUUUUGGUAGCUGUUAACUAUCCACAUAGUAUAUACGCGUGUAUGCAGAGAUCAUUAUAGAUAGAUGGAUAGAAGGCCUAAAAAUAUCUACAGCAAAUGAAACGAAUCUAGAAGUCAUGUCCUUAAGAAAUAGGAGAAA
This is a long non-coding RNA of Astatotilapia calliptera (eastern happy), 1670 nucleotides long. NCBI's taxonomy places the organism in Eukaryota, Metazoa, Chordata, Actinopteri, Cichliformes, Cichlidae. The record is from Ensembl.